This 440-nucleotide ribosomal RNA is filed under the name uncultured bacterium. RNAcentral's name for it is "partial 16S ribosomal RNA". It matches the Rfam family "Bacterial small subunit ribosomal RNA", at positions 338 to 795 of the family's 1533-position model. The record is from RNAcentral.
CCUACGGGAGGCAGCAGUGGGGGAUAUUGCACAAUGGGGGAAACCCUGAUGCAGCGACGCCGCGUGUGGGAAGACGGUCCUCUGGAUUGUAAACCACUGUCCCCAGGGACGAAGAUGACGGUACCUGGGGAGGAAGCUCCGGCUAACUACGUGCCAGCAGCCGCGGUACUACGUAGGGCGCAAGCGUUGUACGGAAUUACUUGGGGAAAGGGGAACGUAGGCGGGAUGGAAAGUUGGGUGUUAAAUCUACCGGCUCAACUGGUCGGCGCACUCAAAACUGCUCUUCUUGAGUGAAGUAGAGGCAGGCGGAAUUCCCAGUGUAGCGGUGAAAUGCGGAGAUAUUAGGAGGAAAACCAGUGGCGAAAGCGGCCUGCUGGGCUUUUACUGACGCUGAGGCUCGAAAGUGUGGGGAGCAAACAGGAUUAGAUACCCCAGUAGUC